Molecule: non-coding RNA, 106 nt
Filed under: uncultured Lawsonibacter sp.
Lineage: Bacteria; Bacillati; Bacillota; Clostridia; Eubacteriales; Oscillospiraceae
Source: RNAcentral
ACAGGGGCGCUGGAAGCACAGUUUCCGGCUGAGAUGCGAGACAGACACAGCGGUCUCCGGUCCCUUAAACCUGAUCCGGGUAAUGCCGGCGUAGGAAGUGGAAGAG